UGUCAGAUGGCCCGGUCACUUUAUUGGUGGGGAGGGAAGUGUUCGUAGUUCAUAUUGGACUGUGAUGGUGAGUUAGUGAGGAGCCUUGUGAGAGAAGGGAAACUGAAUCAGGCUGCUAUGGAGCCAUCCCUGGCAAUGAGACGGAGGCUCCUACAUGAAAAGACUGUUCCCAGCAUGCAAAAUCUUACAAAGGGCUUGGGUUUGUACUGAUGAUGGGAGAAAAUGGAGUUGUUACUUCUAACAGAAGAGAAUCAGUAUCUAACAAAUUAGUCAGCAGACAUGAGCAGCCUCACCCAAAUUAAAAGAAAAGAUCCCUAACCAGCAAGACAUGCCUUGCAGGGUAAGGGAAUUAAACACUUCUGUUUCCUGCGAACCUGAAUUACACCACAUGGAAUAACAUAUUCGUGACUUUUCCUCUGCCAGCCUGUUCUCUUCAGAUCAACAUCAAUGUGUCUCCUGAUGACGGAGGAUUCUUCAUAUGAAAGCCAUCAAGAGGAAUACUAAAAAGACCUUAAUAAUUAACCUGUUGUGACAGUGACAAUAUAUGGGGAAGUUAGGCCAAUGGAGCCAUGCAGGACAACUUCAGAUUCCACACACCUACAGCAUCCUUUCUUCUAAGACCCCCAGGAACCAUGAGGUUCUAACCCCCACACAGCCUCCUCCUAUCUGAGGUGGCUAGAUACCGCAGUGCAGGGCCAUGUAGAAAAACCUUUUCCUUGUAAGUAUAUUAGAUAAGCUAGAGUAGCUUUCCUGAAGCAGCAAGGAGAAUGCCACUGGGUUU
Long non-coding RNA from Mauremys reevesii (Reeves's turtle), 781 nucleotides. RefSeq lists it as uncharacterized. The transcript is spliced from 4 exons. The record is from RefSeq and is a predicted model, not a curated record. NCBI's taxonomy places the organism in Eukaryota, Metazoa, Chordata, Testudines, Geoemydidae.